CAAAAAUGAAACUGGUCAUCCUCUGCCUCUGUCUGGCUAGUACAGCAUCAGCUGCACCAUCGCCGUUUCAUUACCUGUCUCAUUACACAGGCUCCAGACAGCAGCUACCAUCCUCACAGAUGAGAAAUCCUUUUGCAGCUGGUCCGUCUCCCCCACAAACUGCAAUCCCUGGCGCUUACAGUGUGGAAAUA
Seriola aureovittata is the source of this 191-nucleotide long non-coding RNA. RefSeq lists it as uncharacterized. The transcript has 3 exons. The record is from RefSeq and is a predicted model, not a curated record. NCBI's taxonomy places the organism in Eukaryota, Metazoa, Chordata, Actinopteri, Carangiformes, Carangidae.